This 27-nucleotide small RNA is filed under the name Bombyx mori (domestic silkworm). RNAcentral's name for it is "ovarian small RNA-38433". The record is from RNAcentral. Lineage: Eukaryota; Metazoa; Arthropoda; Insecta; Lepidoptera; Bombycidae.
UUUGUGCGUAUGCUCUUGAAUGGCUUC